RNAcentral lists this ribosomal RNA (253 nucleotides) under uncultured prokaryote. RNAcentral's name for it is "partial 16S ribosomal RNA". It matches the Rfam family "Bacterial small subunit ribosomal RNA", at positions 524 to 776 of the family's 1533-position model. The record is from RNAcentral.
UACGUAGGGACCAAGCGUUGUUCGGAUUUACUGGGCGUAAAGGGCGCGUAGGCGGCAAUUCAAGUCAUCUGUGAAAUCUCCGGGCUUAACUCGGAACGGUCAGAUGAUACUGCUUUGCUAGAGUGCGGAAGGGGCAAUCGGAAUUCUCGGUGUAGCGGUGAAAUGCGUAGAUAUCGAGAGGAACACCGGUGGCGAAGGCGGCGACCUGGGUAGAUACUGACGCUGAGGUGCGAAAGCGUGGGGAGCAAACAGG